CAGGGGAAAAUAUGGGUCUCGGAACAUAAGACCUACGAGGAAUGAAAAACUCUGAAAGGUGAAACAUAAAGGGAUUUGCUAUUAUUUGCCAAACAUCAGGACAGGCUUUGGAGAAUCAAAGAUGAGUAAAUAAUCAUAAUAUCCCUCAAGAGGCUUCCAUGCCUUUGCUGAGGAUACGAGCAAUAUAUGAAGAUAUUGCUUCAUUUGUUCGAACAAAUAUCUACCAGUAUAUUUGAUGUCCUCUACCUCAGACUUCACGUCCCUCAUGUCACCAAAAACUAGGCCAACGGAAACUAAAAAAGGAGGGAGAAGAAAAAUCUUAGUUCAUUCUAUGAGGGAAGAACAAGUCUCAGGAUGUGAAGUUCAUUUGUCUGUGACCAAGCUGAAUCGGGAAGAGGUAC
This is a long non-coding RNA of Leopardus geoffroyi (Geoffroy's cat), 401 nucleotides long. RefSeq lists it as uncharacterized. The transcript is spliced from 4 exons. NCBI's taxonomy places the organism in Eukaryota, Metazoa, Chordata, Mammalia, Carnivora, Felidae. The record is from RefSeq and is a predicted model, not a curated record.